AUUGAACGCUGGCGGCAUGCCUUACACAUGCAAGUCGAACGGCAGCACGGGAGCAAUCCUGGUGGCGAGUGGCGAACGGGUGAGUAAAGUAUCGGAACGUGCCCAGCCGUGGGGGAUAACGUAGCGAAAGUUACGCUAAUACCGCAUACGAUCUAUGGAUGAAAGCGGGGGAUCGCAAGACCUCGCGCGAUUGGAGCGGCCGAUAUCAGAUUAGGUAGUUGGUGGGGUAAAGGCUCACCAAGCCGACGAUCUGUAGCUGGUCUGAGAGGACGACCAGCCGCACUGGGACUGAGACACGGCCCAGACUCCUACGGGAGGCAGCAGUGGGGAAUUUUGGACAAGGGGCGAAAGCCUGAUCCAGCCAUGCCGCGUGCAGGAUGAAGGCCUUCGGGUUGUAAACUGCUUUUGUACGGAACGAAAAGGUUUGGCCUAAUAAGCUGAGCUCAUGACGGUACCGUAAGAAUAAGCACCGGCUAACUACUUGCCAGCAGCCGCCGUAA
RNAcentral lists this ribosomal RNA (500 nucleotides) under uncultured bacterium. RNAcentral describes it as "partial 16S ribosomal RNA". It matches the Rfam family "Bacterial small subunit ribosomal RNA", at positions 30 to 523 of the family's 1533-position model. The record is from RNAcentral.